This 71-nucleotide transfer RNA is filed under the name Minisyncoccota bacterium. Its description in RNAcentral is "tRNA-Trp". It matches the Rfam family "tRNA". From Rfam's summary of the family: Transfer RNA (tRNA) molecules are approximately 80 nucleotides in length. Lineage: Bacteria; Bacillati; Minisyncoccota. The record is from RNAcentral.
GGGCGAUUAGUAUAGUGGUAGUACAAUUCUCUCCAAAAGAAUUGGCGGGGGUUCGAUUCCUCCAUCGCCCG